Molecule: ribosomal RNA, 303 nt
Filed under: uncultured bacterium
Lineage: Bacteria
Description: partial 16S ribosomal RNA
Rfam family: Bacterial small subunit ribosomal RNA
Source: RNAcentral
AGCAGUAGCCGCGGGAAUACGAAGGGUGCAAACGUUACUCGGAAUUACUGGGCGUAAAGCGUGCGUAGGUGGUGGUUUAAGUCCGUUGUGAAAGCCCUGGGCUCAACCUGGGAAUUGCAGUGGAUACUGGGUCACUAGAGUGUGGUAGAGGAUAGUGGAAUUUCCGGUGUAGCAGUGAAAUGCGUAGAGAUCGGUAGGAACAUCUGUGGCGAAGGCGACUAUCUGGGCCAACACUGACACUGAGGCACGAAAGCGUGGGGAGCAAACAGGAUUAGAUACCCCUGUAGUCCCUGUCUCUUAUAC